GGCGGACGGGUGAGUAACGCGUAAAGAAACUUGCCCUUUAGACUGGGAUAACAGAGGGAAACUUCUGAUAAUACUGGAUAAGUUAGUAUAUCGCAUGAUAUGCAAAUGAAAGCUACGGCACUAAAGGAGAGCUUUGCGUCCUAUUAGCUAGUUGGUAAGGUAAGAGCUUACCAAGGCGAUGAUAGGUAGCCGGCCUGAGAGGGUGGACGGCCACAAGGGGACUGAGAUACGGCCCUUACUCCUACGGGAGGCAGCAGAC
RNAcentral lists this ribosomal RNA (259 nucleotides) under uncultured Leptotrichia sp. RNAcentral describes it as "partial 16S ribosomal RNA". It matches the Rfam family "Bacterial small subunit ribosomal RNA", at positions 97 to 354 of the family's 1533-position model. Lineage: Bacteria; Fusobacteriati; Fusobacteriota; Fusobacteriia; Fusobacteriales; Leptotrichiaceae. The record is from RNAcentral.